This 253-nucleotide ribosomal RNA is filed under the name uncultured bacterium. RNAcentral describes it as "partial 16S ribosomal RNA". It matches the Rfam family "Bacterial small subunit ribosomal RNA", at positions 524 to 776 of the family's 1533-position model. The record is from RNAcentral.
UACGUAGGGUGCGAGCGUUGUCCGGAAUUACUGGGCGUAAAGAGCUCGUAGGCGGCUUGUCGCGUUGUUCGUGAAAAUUUACCGCUCAACGGUGAACUUGCGGGCGAUACGGGCAGGCUAGAGUACUGCAGGGGAGACUGGAAUUCCUGGUGUAGCGGUGAAAUGCGCAGAUAUCAGGAGGAACACCGGUGGCGAAGGCGGGUCUCUGGGCAGUAACUGACGCUGAGGAGCGAAAGCGUGGGUAGCAAACAGG